Molecule: ribosomal RNA, 305 nt
Filed under: uncultured bacterium
Lineage: Bacteria
Description: bacterial SSU rRNA
Rfam family: Bacterial small subunit ribosomal RNA
Source: RNAcentral
GCCUACGGGGGGCAGCAGUAGGGAAUAUUGCUCAAUGGGGGAAACCCUGAAGCAGCAACGCCGCGUGGAGGAUGAAGGUUUUCGGAUUGUAAACUCCUUUUGUUAGAGAAGAUAAUGAUGGUAUCUAACGAAUAAGCACCGGCUAACUCCGUGCCAGCAGCCGCGGUAAUACGGAGGGUGCAAGCGUUACUCGGAAUCACUGGGCGUAAAGAGCGCGUAGGCGGGAUAGCAAGUCAGAUGUGAAAUCCUAUGGCUUAACCAUAGAACUGCAUUUGAAACUGUUAUCCUAGAGUAUGGGAGAGGUA